GGGGACUACAUCACAGGUGACUUCAUCGAUAAAUUGACUGGUAAUAACAAAUCAAAAAGUACAUUAUCGAUUAACUUAAAGCCCCACAUCUUUAUGAAUUAUCGAUUAACUUAAAGCCCCACAUCUUUAUGAAUCCAACCUAAUAGGUAUGGCUUAGAGUGAGGGAUUGUGGACAAUCCUAACUUUUGUACCAGUUGCUCAGAAAGAGAUUUCUUAUGCCUCUUGCUUUAUAUGAAUUUUUAGAACAAACAACUCCUCUUGUUCAUCAUACUUGGUAAGUAACUCUGAAUCCAUAACUUUUGGCAUUGCCAUUAGAGACAAGUUUGGUUAUGCUCUUUGAACCUAAUUAACUACUAUAGGUUCAUUAUCACAGGCUGUUGUUGCCACUGUCUUACCCUUUGGUCUUUUAUUUGGGUGCAACUUCCAACAUUUCUCCUUUAUAUGACCAUCAAUCUUACAGUGGUCACAUUACCUUCUAGCACUUGACGUUAAAGAUGAAGACGAUAAGGCUGAAGUAGCCUUCUUAAAGUUUUUUUAUUUUGAGGAGCUUGAUCUUGAGCCUUCAAAGGAUUGCUCAUUACAACUAUUUUUCUUUUCAAUGGUCAUAGCUAUCAUAUUUAUGCUAGACACAUCGUUUGGUUUAUAAAGUGAGAUCUCAGUACUUAUACAUGGCAAUAGUCCUGAGGUAUAUUUCAUGAACGUCUUAGGUGAAUCCAUCGAAGCUCCUAAUGCCAUAACUAGAUGUGUAAACUCAGUGGUAUAUUCUUGCACUAAUUGGUCUUUCUUUUAGCGUAGGUUGUGUCAUCGCCUCCAUUGAUCUUUUUGGUAGCCCAUUGGAUAAAAUUCUUUUCGGAUAAGAUCCAAAAAAUUAUCCUAAGUAAUUUCUUCACCCUCAUGGGUUUGUCUAUAUGAAUUCCACCAUGCUAAGGGUAUGACUUGUCAUUUUUAGUCUUGCCAAUGAGAUCUUGUCUUCAGUACUAUGCUUAUAUAAGGUAAAGUAGGUCUCUAACUGAUUGAUUUAAGAAUCUAACUUUUCAGCAUCAAUUGAACUGUCAUACGAUGGAAUAUCGAUUUUUGCCUCCACCUUAAAAGGUCUUGGCAGCCUCUCUUCUUCUUCUUUUUAAGCACAUUGAUCCUUUUUCUUCUUGCUUAAACUCGGACCAGGACUUUUAACUAUCUUCGUAGAGUUUUUAUUAGAAUCAUCAUGAGAUUGAUCCUCCAUCCAAGACAUAACUUUUACCAUCUGUUCAAACAUACUAGUAAUUUGUUUGGCCAAGUCGACUACAAUAGAGUCUUAUGCCAUUAUAACAUACUCAAAACUUGUGGUUCUUCUUGAGGGUCUUUGGUGAAUGUUGAGAAUAGAAAAUGGUUCUCCGGUCUCCCACUAUCCACUUCUAGUCUUAACCAUAUAUAAGUAGGAUCAAAAUGCUCUGAUACCAAUAUGAUCUAUAUAGGAAUAAUAGAACUUGACAACUCUCAAACAGAUAUUAAUUGAAAAUAGAGAGAAGGUUUAUCUUUGAAGAAGAUAAGAUAACUUUCA
RNAcentral lists this long non-coding RNA (1540 nucleotides) under Carica papaya (papaya). RNAcentral's name for it is "long non-coding RNA (CPAP_LNC011604)". Lineage: Eukaryota; Viridiplantae; Streptophyta; Magnoliopsida; Brassicales; Caricaceae. The record is from RNAcentral.